AUCGGCAUCGCCAUCCUAGUAUAAGAAAUAGAAAUAUAGUUAAAUGGAAGAGAGGUGAUGCAUACAUCAAACAAUAUUUUCAGCAAUGAAUGCAUAAUUUAAAAUAUAUAUAUAAGUUCCAGAUUAUUUAGUUCUUAUGAUGCACUUGUCAUUCUGUUACUAAUAUUUUCAGCAAUCCAUGUGAACCAUUGCUCAGUUCUUUGGCAAACCACAACAUUGUAAUGCGGUGUGAUCAAAUUAUAUUUUGGCAUCACUAUUUUUUCUUUCUAAUCCAUGCGAACAUUGCCAUCAGUUGUGUUUGUAAAUGACUAGUAUUCCUCUGAACUAAAUAAAUGUGUCAAUAAGAAAAAAUAAAUAAGCAAUAAUCCAUUUCGGGGUAAUAUAGGGAGUUGUUGAUAUAGGAAACUACAAACAGAAAAACGGCUUCAUCAGGACGAUAUGAAUUAAACUUCAAACGGUGAGCAAUUUAUGAGAACAUAUCUCCCUCUGAUUUAUGAAAUUAUUCUUUCUUAUAAUUGGGGCAUCUGUCCAAUAAUUUCUCUCCAACCGGUGUACAGUAACUAUGGGGCGAAAUUUCUACAUACUAAAGGUUUUGUAUGCCCUAAACCUGACAUGAUGCUUGCUCCAAUAUGCCAUCUCUACCUGGAUGAUACAAUAAAUGAUGUGCUUGUGAGUAUAAUAAAUUGCCUACUCAUCAGGCCAGUGUAAGGUAGGUUGGAUUGUAGGCUGAGAAGUACCAAACCGAGGAAGACCAGAGUUGGGCAAGGCUAAAGAUUGAGGAAUACCAUGAGGAUGUAGCAUAUAAGAAUGCAUCCGAGCCAUCUGCCCAGGAGGAACAAAACCAUUAGUCCUAAUAGUGAUGGAACAAUAGGUACAACAUUAGCAUUAUUUCCCUCAAGAAAUAUAACCAAAGUGCGCUUGGGAACUAUUCAUAAGGAAUAAAAUAGAACAAUCAACACAACCAAUAUGAUAAUCUAAGCAUAAAAGGACCAUAUAUAUGAGUUGCAUUCCUCUAUGUAACACUACAAACUCAAAAUGCAGCAAACAAUCUGAUGAUCAUAAUAGCAUAUGUGCAAUUUAAGGCUUUCACUCGUUUGAACAAAUGAGACAUCAAACAAGUAUACAGAAUUUAUUUCUCUAUCCAGCAACUCAGCCCAGCCUGCACACAUAUGGGAUAAAUCAAAAGAAUCACAUAUUCAUGUUUCUCAAUACAGCAAGGCAGCAACUAGGCAAGUAAUCCCAAAUUCCAAAGUACCAACAAAUAUUUAUGAGCAGAAAACAGAACGCUACAUCAGUGCAACCAUUACCAAUAUUGGAUUGCAUAUCAAAACGAAUGAUAGCCACAUGGGCAACAAAAAAAUUCAGUUUCAUAAGUUUGUGGACAUUGUCAAGAGGACAGUUCAGUUCAUGGUGCCAAGAACAAGAAUGGUGGGAGGGGUCAAAACAUUAAACGUUCAGGAAGAUCAUCAUCCUUCGUUGCCAUGUUAGUCUGCAUUACGCAAGAUGAUUGUUACUCCCUCCGUCCCAAAAUAUACAAUAUUUUUCCUCCGAGCGUAACGAAAUUUUUGACGUUUCCACUUUUGCCCUGGCGACCGAUUCCACUCCUCUCGUCUCGGGACUCCCACUCCUCUCGCGUUCCUCUCUCCGACAGCCCCAAAUCCCUAGCUCACCCACUCCUCCCUAGUGUCGUUGCUGCCGCCUCCCACUCGCCGGCAUCGUUGAGCCUCCCUCUAGCCGGUGUCUCCUCUCCCAUUCCCCUCGCUCACCUACUCCCCUCCAAAGAUGGCGUCGUCCCCUCUGCCCGUCUGGUGUCCUCGCCUAUCUUCCAAAGAUUGCUUUUUUUUACUCCAACGCAUCUGAAGCGGUGAUGGGUACUUGUGCGGAGGCGGCGGAGGCAGCGGCGGCGCUGUAUCUAAAGAGGGCACCAUAGCAGCAAUGGCAGCAUUGGAUCUGAAGCGGUUGACGGCACCGUUGCGGCGGGAGGAGCAAUUAUGGCGAGCACUACCACGACGGUGAGUCCUUGUGUUUGUACUCUGUACUGAUGCUGCUACUUAAGUGAUGCUGCGACAGAGUGGUUCUGCUCCGAUGAUGCUACUGUAUUUCUGCUCUAGUGAUGGUGUUGUAGUAGUAGUUCUGCUCUAGUGAUGUUGCUGCUUUAGAUCUUGUGAAGUUAUGAUGGAGCUCAAGUCUAGUAAAGUUCUUGUGAUGGAGUAAACAUCACUGAAUUUUGCUUGCAGUGUUGUUCACUGAAUUUUCCUUGCAGUUUUGUUCACUGAAUUUUGCAUGUGAACUUUUGGCUGCUCCUUGUGAUGUUUACUAAAUUUUACUCCAUUAACAUAUGCUUGUAGUGAUGUGCAGGUAGUAAAGUUUUACUGAGCUCACUAAAGCUUGUGCUUGUGCUUCAGAUCUGCUUUUUUGCUUGUGAGGAACAAAGGGAACAAAAGGAGUACUGCUCUAGUGAUGCUCUACUGACUUGCUGUACAUUUGUGGGAAUAACUUGAUUUCUUCUUGUACAUUUUCAGUUAAAAGAUGUUUGGUGUAUGCUUGCUUGUUGUACAUGAUGGAGGAUUAUUGGAGUAAUUUGAGUAAGCAUUUUUUCUGUUUGCGUUGUUGCAGUCCAAGACGAUUGAUCGAUGCAGCUGCUACCUGCUGCUGCUGUAUGCACCAUGUCUGAAGAAGACCCCUCUGUGGACCGAACUCUCUGGAGUACUGUAAGCAUGCACACUCUGUUAUGAAUGGAAUGAAAUUGUUUAUGUGAAGUGUUAUUUUUCUUGCUCCUGUAGUAGUAGUUCUUCAUUUGAAGUGUGAGUUGUACUCCUACUUGUUCAUGUGAUUGUUUUGCUUGUUCAUAUGGAAUGGAAUUUGUUCUUCAUGGAGUACAACAGGAGUGGUAGUCUCAAGUCAAAUUGGUUGUUCAUGUGUUGCUGUUGAUGCAACUGUUGUUCUCCAACUGGAGUAGUUUUAACUUCUGGUAGAGUAGUUAAAACAUGAUGUAGUAAAUUGUAAAACUUCAGUUAGAGUAGUUAAAACAUGUUGUACUACUUGUAGUAGCAGUGGUGGUCAUCUAGUUAAAAAAAUUGUACUUGGAGUAGCAGUGGUGGUCAUCUAGUUAAAACGUGUUGUUUGUUGUACUUGGAGUAUUAGAUGGAGUAUAAUGCUCUAUAGGAUUUCUUUUCUUUUAGGAUUCCUUUUUCUUUUACUCCUCUCCUCUCUCUUCUCUCCUCUCUACUCCUUUCUUCUCUGGACUUGUUGUACUAUUAGGAUUUCUUUUACUUUAGGGUUUCUCUCCUCUGUCUUCUCUCCUCUCCUCUCUCUUCUCUCCACACAAAGUUCCUAAGGAUUACUCAUAGGAAUAUAUAAUUUCAUUCUCUCCUCCCCUCUCCUCUCUCUUGUCUCCUCUUCUCUUCUUCCCUUGUCUCCUCUCCACACAACUUUGAAAAAUUCACAAAGUUCUUGUUUACUCCACACACAAAAUUCAGAAACAAUUUUAAGAAAUCCACAAUGAUGCCUACAAGAAAUCCACAAUGAUGCAUACAAACAUAUGGAUCACAUAACAAGUCUCUCAUCAAGCCUCUCAUCAGAAGGAGUACAAACAUAUGGAUCACAUCACAAGCAUCUCAUCACAAGGAGUACAAACAUAUGGAUCACAUCACAAGCAUCUCAUCAUCCAGCCUCUCAUCACAAGCAUCUCACCAUCCAGCCUCUCAUCACAAGCCUCAGUGUUCAUCUUGUUCUAGAUUCUCUAAGGCAUUGUAGUACACUUCACAUGGGAAAUGGAUCCUAGGAAGUAGAAUUCCAUCUCUUUCAAAUCUUUGUUUGGUGACGUGUGGAAUUUUGUAAGCAUUUCCUCCUGCAUGAUUCAUGACUUCAACCAUACAUGUUUGGAGUGUUAGGAAGAUUCUGUUGAGUUUUCCAACUUCAUAGUCAUCGAAUUCUUCUUCUACACCUUGAGUUAGUUCGGGGAUGGUGGUAGGGGCUCUGCAGUCCGUUAGAGACUCUAGGGAUUUGAAGUACCCAAGGUCAAGAGCGUUCAAGUCAGGAGAAUUUGGGGGUUGUUGCACUAGUUUGAUGUCCAUACCGGUCUCAGCCAUUGCUUCUGCAAACUCAACAUCAUUAGGUAAAAUAUGUGUCCUUGCAUUGUCCUGUUGGAUGAGGACUGUUUGUCCAACAUCUCCAAAGGGCCACACAUCUUUUAUUGCAGGAACAACUUUCUCAAUCAUGUAUCAUCUCAUGACUUCUCUGUUCACCAUGAGUGACUUGAAUUCUAUGACACCUCGUUCUUUAUUUUCACUCCUUCUUUAUGUCACAACUGUUGUGACGAAAGGCCAAACCCCAAUCUUUCCUGAGAAUGUGACAUUCCCGUCAGCGUCGUAUCUGGGCCUUGCAACUGCUGUGAGAAACAUCACCUUUCCAAUCUUGUUUGGAACUGGCCUUACUGGGUCUUCUUCAUCUGGCAUUAGGUAGUAGUUUAUGUUCCUUUUUGUCAUGAGAAACCAUUUCUCAUCAAUAUGCACAAUAUUAUGCAUAGUGUUGAAGCAAAUUCUUUCAUUCUGCAGGGUUGUCUGGUCCAGCAUCGACAUGCAAAAUCGAACCCUUUCUCUCUUAUUCUUCUCUUUCAAAGGCGGCUUCACCCUGUUGGAGUGCCUCCUUAUCAUUAAGCUGGAAUUUCCUGUGGAGUGUGGAGCGGCUGACACCCAAUGCAGCAGCAAGUGAUCAUAUGCUUGACCUUCUGUGUAGUGGAACUGCUGAGAUUUGUGAUAGAAAGCCAUCAACCACUUUUGUGCCGCAUCUUUCUGGUUGACACAUCCACCUGUUGACCAAGAGCAAUCUGUUUCUUUGCUAUCUUCCAAAUUCUUUUAAUGAGUUGGAUGUCUACUUGAAACAAUGCAGCCACGUCCUGCUUAUCGUUCCCUUUCAAAUCUCCACCUCUCUUAAUACUUAGCGCUUGCAUUGCCAUAUAAGCAGCAUAUCUCUUCUCAUUUGUUAGUGAUUUUCUCUUCCUCCGUAUUUGUUGAACACCUACAGUAGCAAUGCAACAAGAAAAUUAGAGAAAUUGUGCACUUGGAGAACAUGGAUGAAUAUAAAUUCAGUAAAAUCCACUUGGCUGAAUUUGAAUGCACUUAAGCGCAUAUAUAUCUUCAGUUAAGUGCAUUCAAAUUCAGUUAAGUCCAUUUAAAUCCACUUGACCAAAUUUGAAUGCACUUAAGCACAUAUAUAUUCAGUUAAGUGGAUUCUAAACUUAUUGCAGACUUGUGGUACAUAUAGUGUAAUUAAGUUCAUUUUAAUUCAUUUAAGUAGUAUGUAAAUACAUAUUCAGUUAAGAAUAUGUAUAUUCAAUUUACCUGCUUCUCCCACUGCUUCUCCCAUAGCUUGAUCCUCUUCUUCUCCCACUGCUUCUCCCAUAGCUUGAUCCUCCUCUUCUCCAACAACAUGUUCCUCUUCUCCUCCCACAUCUUCAUCCACAUCUUCUGGUGGAGAAAAGUUUAGGUCAAAGUUCAUGUUCCAAAUUCAGAGUUUGGAGCUGGAGCUGGAGUACAAGAAGCAAACAUAUUAAGAAUUUUGGAAUAAAAGUAAAUUGUUGGAGUACAAGUAAUUGGAGUAUGAACAUUUAAAUGGAGUAAACUUUUGCUUGAUGUCAAUUUAAAUUCAGAAUUGCUACAAAUUGCAGUCAAUUUAAGUGCAUAGGUUUGCAAUCAAUUUACCAUUGGAGUAGGAGUAAAUAUUGGUUUGUCUAGGUUUGUGCUAAGUGGUUGUUUUCUGUAAAUUAACAACAUGAACCAUGUCAAAUUCAGUUAAUUAUUGUACUGCAUUGGUUUCUUUAAUGUUGCGAUUCUUUAAUUCUCUGUUCUUUGAAAUCAUCAGGACUCCUGAUCAAUUAAGAUCAUGCAAUCUGUUUUCUCUGUUUGCUCUACUAUAUUCUCUGUGUAAAGUGAAAUACUAAGUCAUUCUCUGAAUAACGCCACUUGCUGCCACUAUAUUCUCUAUAAUUCUGAUUAAAUCAUCAGCUUGUGAGGUGAGGCACUAAAACUCUUGUGACAACAAGUCACCCAUACUUGAGGUGAGGCACCCAUCAGCUUGUGAUAACAACAAGUCACGCAUCAUAAUUGUGUGUACAUAAGUGUUUGGUGAGAGUGGCUCUACAAAUCAUAACAAGAAGUAUUCCAAGUAGUUCAGCUCAGAUGCAUCAUAAUUGUUCAUAUCAUAAUUGUACUACUGAAAAUUGUUUGGAUCAUUAUUGUUCUGCUGAUAUCUACUGAUUUUUUCCAUUAACACUGAUUUUUCAAUUAACAAUAUUCAGUUAACACUGAUUGUUGUAGCUGCUGUAAUCAGUUUAUUCCAGUUGAUAUGUACCUUGUCCUUGUAAUCACUUGUUAAAACUUGUUGUUAUGUUCAGUUUGAAGUAUAUCUGGCAGCUGUUAUUGAUCUGUACCUUGUCUCUGCAAUCAAUUGUUAAAUCUUGCUUCUGUUGGUCAAUUUGAAGUGAAUCUUACUGCUGUUGUUGAUCUAUACCUUGUCUCACAGUAUUGCAUUUCAAAUUUCUGUUUCCUGGAUUAAAAUUUCAAUUUCCUGCAAACAAUUUAAUCAGUAUUGCAAUUCAAAUUUCAGUUUCACUUCAAAUUUCCUGGAGUAUUGUACUGAUCUCUAUCUUGUUUGUCGGCUUCUCUGUUGAUCUGGAGCCUCGAGAUUCUCUACUUCUCGUUUGAUCUGGAGCUUCUCUGCUUCUCUACUUCCUGCAAUCUUCUCUGAUGCUUCUCUAAUGAUCUUCUUUGUUGAUUUUGUUGCAGCCUGGAUCUUCUGGCCAAGGAGGAGCACAGCGAGUAGCAGCCUGGGCACUGACUAGGAGGCGUUGGGGCCUGGGCGAGCCUGGGAGGAGGCGUUGGGGCCUAGGCGAGGAGGCGCUAGGCGCAGCGAGCCUGGGAGAGGAGCCGAUGGGCGUAGCGAGCUGGAGGCGCUGGGUCGAGGAACUGCUGGUGCUGGGCGAUGGCGACGUGCAGGAGCUGCUGGUGCUGGGCGACGGUGACGUGCAGGAGCUGCUAGGAGAUGCGCCUGGAGCUCGUGGGCGUUGGGCGCUGGGUGCGGCGAGGCGGCAAGCGCUACGCGUGGGGAAGAACCGAGGGCAUGGUGCCAUGGUCUCGUGGGUGCCUAGUGCCAUGGACGCGUGGGUGAUUUUGAAUUUGAAUUUCUGAGAAGGAUUGAGGAAGACGAUCGCGGGGAAGACGAUCGCAGGGGUAGAAACGUCCUUCUGACAGAAAUCGGUGCUGUCGGAAUUUUGAAAAUGCUCCUACAUUUCAGGACGGAGUGAUUGAGUGUUGGGGACACUAUCAUUUGAAGCACAAGAGCAAGGAGUUCAUCAUGAACAACACCAUCUAUUACCUUUUGCAAAGUGGUGUCUCUUAGAUUGGUUAGGUGUCACUUGGGAGCCUCCAAGAUAUUGUGGAGUUGAAUCAAGGAGUUUGUAAGGGCAAGCAGAUCGCCUACUUCAUGAGAAUCUACCCGAGUGAGGCUAGUACUUCGUGGGCGUAAGCCAUGAUGGAAAAGACAAGGUUGAUUCUUCAUGGGUGGAGCCCUCCAUAGACUCGCGCAAAUGUUACCCUCUAUGGGUUGAAGUCGCCAUCAAUGUGGAUUUACGAUAGCACCACCUAUCGGAACCAUGACAAAAAUCAUCGUAUCCUCAUUGUGUUUGAUAUCUCCGAUCUCUCCUUUACAUUCAUAUGCAAAGUCUUUACUUUCCGCUGCUCAACUCUUAGACUUGCAUGUGUAGGGUGUGCUUGACUUGGUAGAAUUGCUAAAGCUUGCCUACCACUAAAAUUGGGAAAAAGAUAAGUUUUUAUUACGUCAAGUAGUCUAAUAACCCCCUCCCCCCUCUAGAUAUACUUUCGAUCCUACACGACCCGCAUAUGCGCCGCUCUGCUGCUAUAUGUAUGGGGCCAGGGGGCUUGUAGGGUUAGCAAACCAGAUCCCCUUCGUCACGAAACGUCUACUCCACCGCUAGGUUUAGAAUACUCCAGCGAGCAAUUAGCCGCAUCUCUCCUCUCCUUUUUCGCCAUCAACGGAAGAUCCAUGGCAAGUGGAUCUAGCUGUGGUGGUCAUGCCAACGCUGGCAGAGGCCGAGGUGGGAACGGGGGCACGACUGACAAGUGACGCCACUAUGACAUCAAGCAAGCAAGCUCGAGCCAUGCCAUCGUGACGCAAUCCAGCUCAAACAAUGAGGACGACAACAGGGGCGCAAGUGGAGGUCGAGGCAGGCUCAGGAGCGCGCCCAGCAAGCAAUGCCACCACGACGCCAAGCAAGCGAGCUCAAGCCGCACCGUCGUGACGCUUUUCAACUCAAGCAAUGACAGCAACAAAGGGUGGCGCCGGUGGAGGUCGAUGUAGGCUCGGGAGCGCGGUUGGCUCUGCCGGUGUGGCGGCCGGGGGUGUAGGGUGGGUUUGAUGUGCGAUGAGCACAUCUUCCCCCACAUCCAGUGGUGCCGCACCAUGGAUGAAGAGCUCCUUGCCGACGAGCGUGUGGUAGCGGCCGACGAAGAAGGGGCUCCCGCCCACCUCGAAGACUCCAAGAACAACAAGAACAAGCACCAGCUCGAAGUGGCACUGUGGAAAUCCGCCAUGAAGUUUUACCUCGGCAUCGUCGAGUGAGUUAUGGUUCAGUUUUUAUUAUUACUAGAUGACCCGUUGCACCAAUGGCGCAAAGGGCGUGAGCAAAUCAGGCUUUCAGACCAUGCAAGAUGGGAUAUUUAUACAACGUUCAUAAAAUCAACCUGUUGCAUCCCUGGAACAAAAAGCGAGAGCGAACUGAGCAUUCAAACCAUGCAAGAGUAGUUUAGAUAUUGAUAAUAGAAUCCUUGAAGCAUAAGGACAUAGAUACUUAGGUAUUUCAUGGUAGCAUGAUAGGCCAAAAAAUUAUUUGGCCAGUUCAUGAUAGCUUAUUUGCAUUGGUUUUAUAUUAGAAAGCAAGCUAUAUAGGUAGUAUCAUACAGAUAGCCCUAGUUUGGUUUCUCAGCUUGUGGUUGAUCUUUGUAGAUCCUGCUUGUAGGCAAAACCAAGACAUGCACUUGUUUCCAUAGGUACAUCGCUGCAUGUUGCAUCUGUAUCGAACAUGACCUUAUUCUCUAACCAACUCUUCAUGGCUAGGUGUUUUCGGUGGGCUGUCGUUGUUGAAAACACAUAUGCUUUCCAUGCACUGAAACUCAUCGUUGAAGCACAAAUCUGUAGAAUGUCCCCUAAAUAUAUAGUUGCACUGUCAAGGUGUUCUACAACCUACUUUACUUGCGAGAAAGUAUGGUUAUCAUUGUCUUCGGGUGUUGAUCAUUCGCUGAGUUGCAAUAAUAUUAAGUGGAAGCCUCAAAUAAUGAAAGAAUACCUUGUUUAACUAAAAGCGUUGCUGAUUGGAGGGGAAACAUUAUGAAGUAUACUUUGUAGUAGUUUGAUAUAAUCUAAUAAAUCAAAUAAAUCUAUAGUCACUUUUGUAGAAGCUUAGAAGUAAUAUAAGAUUACCUGACAUCGGACAAUGAUUGAAAAUUCUUAACUAAUGUACUGUGUUAAAGAGAGAAAAGGCAUGUGCCUACACGAAAGAAUAAAUUAUAGUGGAUAUUUGCUAUAAAUAUUCUAUUACACAAAUGGCAUGCAUAUAGUCACGCCUGAAUAUAGUUUUAACACUAGUGUAGAUGACGAGCACAGCUUGGAUCGCCUGCGGAGAUGAAGCGUUGCCAUUGCAAUCGGCAUCAAGCACCAUAGGGUGUGCAAUCAGCAACAAGCACGCAACAAGUACCAUAGGAAAGUAGUCUGCAAUAUGAAGAGUGAAACUGAGAGUAUGAAAAAAAUACCGACGUUUAGAUGGAUAGGAAUGCAAAAUAAAUGUUGGGUGGACCAUUUUUCUUAUCAAGGACAAUCACAUGGGACUUACUACUGCGCUUUCUUGUUUCCUCCAGCUGCUUUCCCACCACUAUUGUUCCUUAAGUUCCAGACACCCAUGUUUAGCGAAAGAGGAUCAUUGUACCUGUUUACUUCAUAGCAUAAAUAAACAAGCGAUGGGAAGAACAACCCGUCUUUGAUUUUAGGUGGGUGAAAGGAUCACUGCCAUCCUCAGUAGCAGCCAGAGAAGCAUCGGCAUCGACAUCCUAGUAUAAGAUAUAGCAAUCUAGUUAAAUGGAAGAGAGGUGAUGCAUACAUCAAACAAUAUUUUCAGCAAUGAAUGCAUAAUUUAAAAUAUAUAUAUAUAAGUUCCAGAUUAUUUAGUUCUUAUGAUGCACUUGUCAUUCUGUUACUAAUAUUUUCAGCAAUCCAUGUGAACCAUUGCUCAGUUCUUUGGCAAACCACAACAUUGUAAUGCGGUGUGAUCAAAUUAUAUUUUGGCAUCACUAUUUUUUCUUUCUAAUCCAUGCGAACAUUGCCAUCAGUUGUGUUUGUAAAUGACUGGUAUUCCUCUGAACUAAAUAAAUGUGUCAAUAAGAAAAAAUAAAUAAGCAAUAAUCCAUUUUUGGGGUAAUAUAGGGAGUUGUUGAUAUAGGAAACUACAAACAGAAAAACGGCUUCAUCAGGACAAUAUGUAUUAAACCUUCAAACGGUGAGCAAUUUAUGAGAGCAUAUCUCCCUCUGAUUUAUGAAAUUAUUCUUUCUUAUAAUUAGGGCAUCUGUCCAAUAAUUUCUCUCCAGCCGGUGUACAGUAACUAUGGGGCGAAAUUUCUACAUACUAAAGGUUUUGUAUGCCCUAAACCUGACAUGAUGCUUGCUCCAAUAUGCCAUCUCUACCUGGAUGAUACAAUAA
This 10765-nucleotide long non-coding RNA is filed under the name Triticum aestivum (bread wheat). RNAcentral describes it as "long non-coding RNA (TAES_LNC004295)". The record is from RNAcentral. Lineage: Eukaryota; Viridiplantae; Streptophyta; Magnoliopsida; Poales; Poaceae.